This is a non-coding RNA of Dermatophagoides farinae (American house dust mite), 1601 nucleotides long. The record is from RefSeq and is a predicted model, not a curated record. NCBI's taxonomy places the organism in Eukaryota, Metazoa, Arthropoda, Arachnida, Sarcoptiformes, Pyroglyphidae.
GAUUGUCCACAAUCCACCCCCAACACUGACUAUUUUUAAAUUACUUUAUGCGCAAGUGUGUAUGUGUAUAUAAAUAAUUGGGGGCAAAUUUAUAAGUGAUUGUCCACUAUCCUCCCCAACAAAUAGGUUUUAUAAGCGAGGGGGAGGCAAAUUUAUAAGUGAUUUUGCGCAAACCACUAUCCACCCCCAACACUGACUAUUUUUUUAUAUUAACCCAGGCGGCCGCGAUGGGAUUUGAACCGACGUCGAAUGUGUAUAUGCGUGUAUAUGUGUUAAUGUGUGUAAAUGGGGGAGGCAAAUUUAUAAAUGAUGGGGUAAUUUUCCCCCAGACCAUUAUCCUCCCCCAUAAUAUAAUAUCCAUAAAUGGGAAUAUAUAAAUGAUAUAAAUCCCAAUAUUUACAGGAAUACAACCCUUUUCGCUGUCCCGAUUAGCGCUGUUUCGAUAUAACGCUGUGCAAUUACAUUACAUUGCAAUACAUUGUUACAUUGUAUAUGAAGAGUAAAAAUGCAUUAUGUAAAUUAUGCAAAAAUAACCCCACUUUGCGCUGUUGUUUCGCUUUACGCUCAAUAUUUUUGGAACGUAACCCUGCGUUAAGCGGGGUAUUACUGUAUAUUUGUAUUAUAUCACUGUAUAUAUGUUGCAUUACUGGCUGCGCAUGCUUCUGCCUAUUUCUACUUUCCCCUAUUUCGACCGAGAAUGUCGGUGAGAGAGAACGAGCACGUUUUUCAGCCGAAAAUUCCGAGUCUGGAACACUAACACACACAACUCGACAACAAAUAAAAAUCCGAUUUUCACAAACGAUCCCACGACAUAUUUAUUAUUAAAUAUUGUUCGUUUUGCAUUCAAUUGAUUCUCACUACAACAAUGGUUCAUCAUUAUUAUCAAUUUGUAGAAACCAUAAAGGUGAUAUUCCAAUUGUAUCAGUAAAAAAGAUGAAUAGCUGUUCGCUAUUUUUAGGCAUUGGUAAUCUUUUGGUUUGGUUUUCAUUAUUACGUUAUUUUGCCUAUUUUCAAUCAUAAAACAUUCUCUUAUUGUAACAUUGAAGAAAUCUUUUCCAAACGUUUUGCGGUUCUGUCUCUGUGCAUUUUUAGUUUAUGGAGGAUUUUGUUUUUGUGGUUGGGUCGUUUUGGGUCCUCAUCUCAAAUUUCGUACGCUUAGUUCAACAUUGGAAUGUUUGUUUUCACUUAUAAACGGUGAUGAUAUGUUUGCUACAUUUUUUUCCACUGAUGUGAAAAAAGUCUUAUAUGGUGGUUUAGUCGCAUUUAUCUUUAUCUUUUCAUUUCAUUGUCCAUAUAUGUGAUAUUCUCGUUGCCAUAAUACUCGAUGCAUACGAACGGUUCCUAUUUUUUUUAAUAACAUGAAAACUUUUUUUAAUUUUUAUUUAAGAAAUUUUUAUUUAUGAUUGAAAUUUUUGAAAACAAAAUUUUAAAAAUACUUGCGCAUUCACUGUCUGAUCAGACAAUUUGCAUCUUAUUUCUUAAAGAUCAAUGUCAUUGGAGACAGUGAAGCGCAAAUGAUGGUUUUAACAGCAAUUGGUUCAAAAAAAAAAAAUACUUAAAACAAUAAUGUGCAACAAUUGAUUGAUAAUAUAUAAUCAUAA